Cyprinus carpio (common carp) is the source of this 779-nucleotide long non-coding RNA. NCBI's taxonomy places the organism in Eukaryota, Metazoa, Chordata, Actinopteri, Cypriniformes, Cyprinidae. The record is from Ensembl.
AUGACAUCAUCACCUCUUAUUAGAUCAACAGCAGCUCCUGAAACUACUGUCCCUGUGACGACCACCGCCACUGUUUCUGUGACAACCACACUCAUUAGUGAUCUCACAACUGCUGUGAACACCCAGGCAAAAGCUGUAACGGUAACCACACACACCAUCGCUCCCAUGGUGAAGGUGACAAUUUCACUGCCAACGACAAGCAUCCAGCAGCUCACUAAAGUGUCUCAUUCAGAAAAACCAGGAUGUCCAUGGGGACUAGAGCUAUUUCAUCAAGGAGGUGAGAAAGAGGACCUGAAAGAGACUCUUGAAGAGGAGCUGAUCUGGGGCAGGGUGACCAUUAGCUCAGUGAAGCUGCAGCCAUGUGUGUUUGAGCUGUGCAAGUUUUACUCUCAGUGUGUGUGCAGAGGAUUCAGUCACAGAGCAGCAGCUUUACAGGGAUACUGUGUGGACAGCCAUCGCUGGUAUGACAGACACACAGCAGAGGUCUGCAGUCGUAUGAGGAGAGUCACUUUUUCCAAAAAUCUGAAGCAGAAAUGUCUGGCAAGAAUGUGUGUGAAGAUGCAAGACGAAAGCUGAGCUUCAUUUGCAGGUGACAGACAUCUGAACCAUCUGAACUGAAGAAUUUGUUUAUGUAUGUGUGAGAGAAACUGGGUUCUGUUAAACACUGAACAGCAUUGUCAUCAUCUGUAAAUCAAAAAUCUGUAUAGUCUGUGCAUCUAGUGCCCAAAUUGCACUUUGUCUCUCCUGAAUAUUAAUAAAACCGAAUAUAUAUUUACCCA